UGAGGAAUAUUGGUCAAUGGGCGAGAGCCUGAACCAGCCAAGUCGCGUGAAGGAAGAAGGCGUUAUGCGUUGUAAACUUCUUUUGUAUAGGAAUAAAGUGCUCUACGUGUAGAGUUUUGUAUGUACUGUACGAAUAAGGAUCGGCUAACUCCGUGCCAGCAGCCGCGGUAAUACGGAGGAUUCGAGCGUUAUCCGGAUUUAUUGGGUUUAAAGGGUGCGUAGGCGGUUAGAUAAGUCAGCGGUGAAAGUUUGUGGCUCAACCAUAAAAUUGCCGUUGAAACUGUUUAACUUGAGUGCAAAUGAGGUAGGCGGAAUGUGUUGUGUAGCGGUGAAAUGCUUAGAUAUAACACAGAACACCAAUUGCGAAGGCAGCUUACUGGGAUGCAACUGACGCUGAGGCACGAAAGCGUGGGGAUCAAACA
Molecule: ribosomal RNA, 422 nt
Filed under: uncultured Porphyromonadaceae bacterium
Lineage: Bacteria; Pseudomonadati; Bacteroidota; Bacteroidia; Bacteroidales; Porphyromonadaceae
Description: partial 16S ribosomal RNA
Rfam family: Bacterial small subunit ribosomal RNA
Source: RNAcentral